RNAcentral lists this ribosomal RNA (494 nucleotides) under uncultured bacterium. RNAcentral's name for it is "partial 16S ribosomal RNA". It matches the Rfam family "Bacterial small subunit ribosomal RNA", at positions 28 to 507 of the family's 1533-position model. The record is from RNAcentral.
GACGAACGCUGGCGACGCGCUUAACACAUGCAAGUCGAACGGAAAGGCCUGCUUUCCCUUGUGGAUUGCGGGUACUCGAGUGGCGAACGGGUGAGUAACACGUGAGUGAUCUGCCCCCAACUUGGGUAUAAGCCUGGGAAACUGGGUCUAAUUCCCGAUAGGACUGCAGGGUGGUGCCUGUGGUGGAAAACGAUUUUCUAGUGGUUGGGGAUGAGCUCGCGGCCUAUCAGCUUGUUGGUGGGGUAAUGGCCUACCAAGGCGGCGACGGGUAGCCGGCCUGGGAGGGUGGACGGGCACAUUGGGACUGAGAUACGGCCCAGACUCCUACGGGAGGCAGCAGUGGGGAAUAUUGCACAAUGGGCGGAAGCCUGAUGCAGCGACGCCGCGUGGGGGAUGACGGCCUUCGGGUUGUAAACUCCUUUCGACCGCGAGGAAGCCACCUGGUUGGAAGGGUGGUGACGGUAGUGGUAGAAGAAGCACCGGCUAACUACGUG